CCUUCAGCAUUAACACCUCUCAGAGUAUAUGAUGCCCCACAGUAAGAGGGCAGUUCCCUGCUGGUCCGAUAUGGCAUUUACUGUUUGCCAGGCAAAACAACCAACAACCUAGUCCCCCUGACCUCAGAAGGUGAACAAAGUUCCUGAGCUCCCAGCUGGUGUAGCUCUGACGAUUCACUGGAGACACAAUCACACAAU
This is a long non-coding RNA of Pygocentrus nattereri (red-bellied piranha), 198 nucleotides long. RefSeq lists it as uncharacterized. The record is from RefSeq and is a predicted model, not a curated record. Lineage: Eukaryota; Metazoa; Chordata; Actinopteri; Characiformes; Serrasalmidae. The transcript has 3 exons.